RNAcentral lists this non-coding RNA (25 nucleotides) under Mus musculus (house mouse). The record is from RNAcentral. Lineage: Eukaryota; Metazoa; Chordata; Mammalia; Rodentia; Muridae.
UGAUAGGAUCAGGCUUGUUUUGUUA